AGAACUUAGCAGAGAUGCUUUGGUGCCUUUCGGGAACUCUGAGACAGGUGCUGCAUGGCUGUCGUCAGCUCGUGUUGUGAGAUGUUGGGUUAAGUCCCGCAACGAGCGCAACCCUUAUCCUUUGUUGCCAGCGGCUCGGCCGGGAACUCAAAGGAGACUGCCGGUGAUAAACCGGAGGAAGGUGGGGAUGACGUCAAGUCAUCAUGGCCCUUACGGCCAGGGCUACACACGUGCUACAAUGGCGCAUACAAAGAGAAGCGACCUCGCGAGAGCAAGCGGACCUCAUAAAGUGCGUCGUAGUCCGGAUUGGAGUCUGCAACUCGACUCCAUGAAGUCGGAAUCGCUAGUAAUCGUAGAUCAGAAUGCUACGGUGAAUACGUUCCCGGGCCUUGUACACACCGCCCGUCACACCAUGGGAGUGGGUUGCAAAAGAAGUAGGUAGCUUAACCUUCGGGAGGGCGCUUACCACUUUGUGAUUCAUGACUGGGGUGAAGUCGUAACAAGGUAGGCGUAGCGAG
This 518-nucleotide ribosomal RNA is filed under the name uncultured bacterium. RNAcentral's name for it is "bacterial SSU rRNA". It matches the Rfam family "Bacterial small subunit ribosomal RNA", at positions 992 to 1509 of the family's 1533-position model. The record is from RNAcentral.